Molecule: ribosomal RNA, 1433 nt
Filed under: uncultured organism
Description: 16S ribosomal RNA
Rfam family: Bacterial small subunit ribosomal RNA
Source: RNAcentral
GCGGCGUGCUUAACACAUGCAAGUCGAACGGAAAGGCCCUGCUUUUGUGGGGUGCUCGAGUGGCGAACGGGUGAGUAACACGUGAGUAACCUGCCCUUGACUUUGGGAUAACUUCAGGAAACUGGGGCUAAUACCGGAUAGGAGCUCCUGCUGCAUGGUGGGGGUUGGAAAGUUUCGGCGGUUGGGGAUGGACUCGCGGCUUAUCAGCUUGUUGGUGGGGUAGUGGCUUACCAAGGCUUUGACGGGUAGCCGGCCUGAGAGGGUGACCGGCCACAUUGGGACUGAGAUACGGCCCAGACUCCUACGGGAGGCAGCAGUGGGGAAUAUUGCACAAUGGGCGGAAGCCUGAUGCAGCAACGCCGCGUGCGGGAUGACGGCCUUCGGGUUGUAAACCGCUUUCGCCUGUGACGAAGCGUGAGUGACGGUAAUGGGUAAAGAAGCACCGGCUAACUACGUGCCAGCAGCCGCGGUGAUACGUAGGGUGCGAGCGUUGUCCGGAUUUAUUGGGCGUAAAGGGCUCGUAGGUGGUUGAUCACGUCGGAAGUGUAAUCUUGGGGCUUAACCCUGAGCGUGCUUUCGAUACGGGUUGACUUGAGGAAGGUAGGGGAGAAUGGAAUUCCUGGUGGAGCGGUGGAAUGCGCAGAUAUCAGGAGGAACACCAGUGGCGAAGGCGGUUCUCUGGGCCUUUCCUGACGCUGAGGAGCGAAAGCGUGGGGAGCGAACAGGCUUAGAUACCCUGGUAGUCCACGCUGUAAACGGUGGGUACUAGGUGUGGGGUCCAUUCCACGGGUUCCGUGCCGUAGCUAACGCUUUAAGUACCCCGCCUGGGGAGUACGGCCGCAAGGCUAAAACUCAAAGGAAUUGACGGGGCCCCGCACAAGCGGCGGAGCAUGCGGAUUAAUUCGAUGCAACGCGUAGAACCUUACCUGGGUUUGACAUGGAUCGGGAGUGCUCAGAGAUGGGUGUGCCUCUUUUGGGGUCGGUUCACAGGUGGUGCAUGGCUGUCGUCAGCUCGUGUCGUGAGAUGUUGGGUUAAGUCCCGCAACGAGCGCAACCCUUGUUCACUGUUGCCAGCACGUUAUGGUGGGGACUCAGUGGAGACCGCCGGGGUCAACUCGGAGGAAGGUGGGGAUGACGUCAAGUCAUCAUGCCCCUUAUGUCCAGGGCUUCACGCAUGCUACAAUGGCUGGUACAGAGAGUGGCGAGCCUGUGAGGGUGAGCGAAUCUCGGAAAGCCGGUCUCAGUUCGGAUUGGGGUCUGCAACUCGACCUCAUGAAGUCGGAGUCGCUAGUAAUCGCAGAUCAGCAACGCUGCGGUGAAUACGUUCCCGGGGCUUGUACACACCGCCCGUCAAGUCAUGAAAGUUGGUAACACCCGAAGCCGGUGGCCUAACCGUUGUGGGGGAGCCGUCGAAGGUGGGACUGGUGAUUAGG